GUGUCUGUAGCCUAGUGGUAAAAGGCAGCACUCUGGUAUGUGUCUUGGCUAUCAUGCUGAAGUUGCAGGUUUGAAUCCCAUCAGACACA
Molecule: non-coding RNA, 89 nt
Organism: Cronartium quercuum f. sp. fusiforme G11
Lineage: Eukaryota; Fungi; Basidiomycota; Pucciniomycetes; Pucciniales; Coleosporiaceae
Source: the annotation of a GenBank genome assembly